This 460-nucleotide ribosomal RNA is filed under the name uncultured bacterium. RNAcentral describes it as "partial 16S ribosomal RNA". It matches the Rfam family "Bacterial small subunit ribosomal RNA", at positions 338 to 795 of the family's 1533-position model. The record is from RNAcentral.
CCUACGGGUGGCUGCAGUGAGGAAUAUUGGUCAAUGGGCGCGAGCCUGAACCAGCCACGUCGCGUGAAGGAUGACUGCCCUACGGGUUGUAAACUUCUUUUAUAAAGGAAUAAAGUGCGGCACGUGUGCCUUUUUGUAUGUACUUUAUGAAUCAGGAACGGCUAACUCCGUGCCAGCAGCCGCGGUAAUACGGAGGAUCCGAGCGUUAUCCGGAUUUAUUGGGUGUAACGGGUGCGUAGAUGGGUUGUUAAGUCAGUUGUGAAAGUUUGCGGCUCAACCGUAAAAUUGCAAUUGAUACUGGCAGUCUUGAGUACAGUAGAGGUAGGCGGAAUUCGUGGUGUAGCGGUGAAAUGCUUAGAUAUCAGGAAGAACACCGAUUGCGAAGGCAGCUUACUGAGCCGCCACUGACAUUGAGGCUCGAAAGUGUGGGUAGCAAACAGGAUUAGAUACCCCGGUAGUC